GACGAACGCUGGCGGCGUGCUUAACACAUGCAAGUCGAACGGAAAGGCCCUGCUUUUGUGGGGUGCUCGAGUGGCGAACGGGUGAGUAACACGUGAGUAACCUGCCCUUGACUUUGGGAUAACUUCAGGAAACUGGGGCUAAUACCGGAUAGGAGCUCCUGCUGCAUGGUGGGGUUGGAAAGUUUCGGCGGUUGGGGAUGGACUCGCGGCUUAUCAGCUUGUUGGUGGGGUAGUGGCUUACCAAGGCUUUGACGGGUAGCCGGCCUGAGAGGGUGACCGGCCAAAUUGGGACUGAGAUACGGCCCAGACUCCUACGGGAGGCAGCAGUGGGGAAUAUUGCACAAUGGGCGGAAGCCUGAUGCAGCAACGCCGCGUGCGGGAUGACGGCCUUCGGGUUGUAAACCGCUUUCGCCUGUGACGAAGCGUGAGUGACGGUAAUGGGUAAAGAAGCACCGGCUAACUACGUG
This 467-nucleotide ribosomal RNA is filed under the name uncultured bacterium. Its description in RNAcentral is "partial 16S ribosomal RNA". It matches the Rfam family "Bacterial small subunit ribosomal RNA", at positions 28 to 507 of the family's 1533-position model. The record is from RNAcentral.